GAUGAACGCUAGCUACAGGCUUAACACAUGCAAGUCGAGGGGAAACGAUGAGAGAGCUUGCUCUCUUAGGCGUCGACCGGCGCACGGGUGAGUAACGCGUAUCCAACCUACCCAUUACAGGGGGAUAACCUUGCGAAAGUAAGACUAAUACCCCAUGGCAUUUUAUGGUGGCAUCAUUAUAGGAUUAAAGAUUUAUUGGUAAUGGAUGGGGAUGCGUCUGAUUAGCUUGUUGGCGGGGUGACGGCCCACCAAGGCAACGAUCAGUAGGGGUUCUGAGAGGAAGGUCCCCCACAUUGGAACUGAGACACGGUCCAAACUCCUACGGGAGGCAGCAGUGAGGAAUAUUGGUCAAUGGGCGAGAGCUUGAACCAGCCAAGUAGCGUGCAGGAUGACGGCCCUAUGGGUUGUAAACUGCUUUUAUAGGGGAAUAAAGUGAGCUACGUGUAGUUUAUUGCAUGUACCCUAUGAAUAAGGACCGGCUAAUUCCGUG
This 490-nucleotide ribosomal RNA is filed under the name uncultured bacterium. RNAcentral's name for it is "partial 16S ribosomal RNA". It matches the Rfam family "Bacterial small subunit ribosomal RNA", at positions 28 to 507 of the family's 1533-position model. The record is from RNAcentral.